Molecule: ribosomal RNA, 370 nt
Filed under: uncultured cyanobacterium
Lineage: Bacteria; Bacillati; Cyanobacteriota
Description: bacterial SSU rRNA
Rfam family: Bacterial small subunit ribosomal RNA
Source: RNAcentral
AUUUUUUUGCAAUGGGCGAAAGCCUGACGGAGCAAUACCGCGUGGGGGAAGAAGGUUUUUGGAUUGUAAACCCCUUUUCUCAGGGAAGAAGAUCUGACGGUACCUGAGGAAUAAGCAUCGGCUAACUCCGUGCCAGCAGCCGCGGUAAUACGGAGGAUGCAAGCGUUAUCCGGAAUUAUUGGGCGUAAAGAGUCCGUAGGCGGCCCGGCAAGUCUGCUGUCAAAGAAUGGAGCUUAACUCCAUAAGGGCAGUGGAAACUGCAGAGCUAGAGUCUAGGAGGGGUAGAGGGAAUUCCCAGUGUAGCGGUGAAAUGCGUAGAGAUUGGGAAGAACACCGGCGGCGAAAGCGCUCUACUGGACUAGAACUGACG